This 232-nucleotide ribosomal RNA is filed under the name uncultured bacterium. Its description in RNAcentral is "partial 16S ribosomal RNA". It matches the Rfam family "Bacterial small subunit ribosomal RNA", at positions 118 to 351 of the family's 1533-position model. The record is from RNAcentral.
UGAGCAAUCUGCCCAUCUCUUUGGAAUAAGCGUUGGAAACGACGUCUAAUGCCGAAUACGACCUCCUUUCGCAUGAUCGGAGGUGGAAAGCUCCGGCGGAGAAGGAUGAGCUCGCGGCCUAUCAGCUAGUUGGUGUGGGUAACGCCCACCAAGGCGACGACGGGUAGCCGGCCUGAGAGGGUGACCGGCCACACUGGGACUGAGACACGGCCCAGACUCCUACGGGAGGNAG